GUGCCAUUCAUUGCUGUCCCGG
Molecule: unclassified non-coding RNA, 22 nt
Filed under: Mus musculus (house mouse)
Lineage: Eukaryota; Metazoa; Chordata; Mammalia; Rodentia; Muridae
Description: oocyte_clustered_small_RNA71
Source: RNAcentral